RNAcentral lists this ribosomal RNA (1295 nucleotides) under Acinetobacter tandoii. RNAcentral's name for it is "bacterial SSU rRNA". It matches the Rfam family "Bacterial small subunit ribosomal RNA", at positions 28 to 1316 of the family's 1533-position model. Lineage: Bacteria; Pseudomonadati; Pseudomonadota; Gammaproteobacteria; Moraxellales; Moraxellaceae. The record is from RNAcentral.
AUUGAACGCUGGCGGCAGGCUUAACACAUGCAAGUCGAGCGGAGCGAGGGUGCUUGCACCUUAGCUUAGCGGCGGACGGGUGAGUAAUGCUUAGGAAUCUGCCUAUUAGUGGGGGACAACAUUCCGAAAGGAAUGCUAAUACCGCAUACGUCCUACGGGGGAAAGCAGGGGAUCUUCGGACCUUGCGCUAAUAGAUGAGCCUAAGUCGGAUUAGCUAGUUGGUGGGGUAAAGGCCUACCAAGGCGACGAUCUGUAGCGGGUCUGAGAGGAUGAUCCGCCACACUGGGACUGAGACACGGCCCAGACUCCUACGGGAGGCAGCAGUGGGGAAUAUUGGACAAUGGGCGGAAGCCUGAUCCAGCCAUGCCGCGUGUGUGAAGAAGGCCUUUUGGUUGUAAAGCACUUUAAGCGAGGAGGAGGCUACUAGUAUUAAUACUACUGGAUAGUGGACGUUACUCGCAGAAUAAGCACCGGCUAACUCUGUGCCAGCAGCCGCGGUAAUACAGAGGGUGCGAGCGUUAAUCGGAUUUACUGGGCGUAAAGCGUGCGUAGGCGGCUUUUUAAGUCGGAUGUGAAAUCCCCGAGCUUAACUUGGGAAUUGCAUUCGAUACUGGGAAGCUAGAGUAUGGGAGAGGAUGGUAGAAUUCCAGGUGUAGCGGUGAAAUGCGUAGAGAUCUGGAGGAAUACCGAUGGCGAAGGCAGCCAUCUGGCCUAAUACUGACGCUGAGGUACGAAAGCAUGGGGAGCAAACAGGAUUAGAUACCCUGGUAGUCCAUGCCGUAAACGAUGUCUACUAGCCGUUGGGGCCUUUGAGGCUUUAGUGGCGCAGCUAACGCGAUAAGUAGACCGCCUGGGGAGUACGGUCGCAAGACUAAAACUCAAAUGAAUUGACGGGGGCCCGCACAAGCGGUGGAGCAUGUGGUUUAAUUCGAUGCAACGCGAAGAACCUUACCUGGUCUUGACAUACAGAGAACUUUCCAGAGAUGGAUUGGUGCCUUCGGGAACUCUGAUACAGGUGCUGCAUGGCUGUCGUCAGCUCGUGUCGUGAGAUGUUGGGUUAAGUCCCGCAACGAGCGCAACCCUUUUCCUUAUUUGCCAGCACUUCGGGUGGGAACUUUAAGGAUACUGCCAGUGACAAACUGGAGGAAGGCGGGGACGACGUCAAGUCAUCAUGGCCCUUACGACCAGGGCUACACACGUGCUACAAUGGUCGGUACAAAAGGGUUGCUACCUCGCGAGAGGAUGCUAAUCUCAAAAAGCCGAUCGUAGUCCGGGAUUGGAGUCUGCAACUCGAC